This 483-nucleotide ribosomal RNA is filed under the name uncultured bacterium. Its description in RNAcentral is "partial 16S ribosomal RNA". It matches the Rfam family "Bacterial small subunit ribosomal RNA", at positions 28 to 507 of the family's 1533-position model. The record is from RNAcentral.
GACGAACGCUGGCGGCGCGCUUAACACAUGCAAGUCGAACGCUGAAGCUCAGCUUUUGUUGGGUGGAUGAGUGGCGAACGGGUGAGUAACACGUGAGUAACCUGCCUCCUUCUUUGGGAUAACGCCCGGAAACGGGUGCUAAUACUGGAUAUUCACUGGUCUUCGCAUGGGGGUUGGUGGAAAGGGUUUUUCUGGUGGGGGAUGGGCUCGCGGCCUAUCAGCUUGUUGGUGGGGUGAUGGCCUGCCAAGGCUUUGACGGGUAGCCGGCCUGAGAGGGUGACCGGUCACAUUGGGACUGAGAUACGGCCCAGACUCCUACGGGAGGCAGCAGUGGGGAAUAUUGCACAAUGGGCGCAAGCCUGAUGCAGCGACGCCGCGUGAGGGAUGGAGGCCUUCGGGUUGUGAACCUCUUUCGCUCAUGGUCAAGCCGCAACAAUGGUUGUGGUGAGGGUAGUGGGUAAAGAAGCGCCGGCUAACUACGUG